This 71-nucleotide transfer RNA is filed under the name Diogenichthys atlanticus (longfin lanternfish). RNAcentral's name for it is "tRNA-Tyr". It matches the Rfam family "tRNA". From Rfam's summary of the family: Transfer RNA (tRNA) molecules are approximately 80 nucleotides in length. Their secondary structure includes four short double-helical elements and three loops (D, anti-codon, and T loops). Lineage: Eukaryota; Metazoa; Chordata; Actinopteri; Myctophiformes; Myctophidae. The record is from RNAcentral.
GAUGAGGUGGCCGAGUGUUUAAGCGGUGGGUUGUAGCCCCAAAGACAGAGGUUCAAUUCCUCUCCCCAUCC